GAUAUCUCGGCUCUCGCAUCGAUGAAGAACGUAGCGAAAUGCGAUACCUGGUGUGAAUUGCAGAAUCCCGCGAACCAUCGAGUCUUUGAACGCAAGUUGCGCCCGAGGCCUUCUGGCCGAGGGCACGCCUGCCUGGGCGUCACGCCAAACACGCUCCCACCCCA
This 164-nucleotide ribosomal RNA is filed under the name Festuca juncifolia. RNAcentral describes it as "5.8S ribosomal RNA". The stretch from base 1 to 142 matches the Rfam family "5.8S ribosomal RNA". From Rfam's summary of the family: 5.8S ribosomal RNA (5.8S rRNA) is a component of the large subunit of the eukaryotic ribosome. It is transcribed by RNA polymerase I as part of the 45S precursor that also contains 18S and 28S rRNA. The record is from RNAcentral. Lineage: Eukaryota; Viridiplantae; Streptophyta; Magnoliopsida; Poales; Poaceae.